This 98-nucleotide transfer RNA is filed under the name Candidatus Nitrosocaldaceae archaeon. Its description in RNAcentral is "tRNA-Leu". It matches the Rfam family "tRNA". Rfam says of the family: Transfer RNA (tRNA) molecules are approximately 80 nucleotides in length. Their secondary structure includes four short double-helical elements and three loops (D, anti-codon, and T loops). Further hydrogen bonds mediate the characteristic L-shaped molecular structure. tRNAs have two regions of fundamental functional importance: the anti-codon, which is responsible for specific mRNA codon recognition, and the 3' end, to which the tRNAs corresponding amino acid is attached (by aminoacyl-tRNA synthetases). tRNAs cope with the degeneracy of the genetic code in two manners: having more than one tRNA (with a specific anti-codon) for a particular amino acid; and 'wobble' base-pairing, i.e. permitting non-standard base-pairing at the 3rd anti-codon position. The record is from RNAcentral. Lineage: Archaea; Thermoproteati; Nitrososphaerota; Nitrososphaeria; Candidatus Nitrosocaldales; Candidatus Nitrosocaldaceae.
GCGGGGGUCGCCAAGCCUGGUCAACGGCGUGAGGCUCAGAAUAAUUAUGAGAAACCUCAUCCCUUAGGGGUUCGUGGGUUCAAAUCCCACCCCCCGCA